This is a long non-coding RNA of Thalassophryne amazonica, 154 nucleotides long. RefSeq lists it as uncharacterized. Lineage: Eukaryota; Metazoa; Chordata; Actinopteri; Batrachoidiformes; Batrachoididae. The transcript is spliced from 3 exons. The record is from RefSeq and is a predicted model, not a curated record.
GAGCAGGUGUGCCCAGUGGAUAAGGUGCUGGCCUUCCAAUAUGUAGAUCUGAGUUCGAAUCCUGUUCAUGCUACCUUGUCUGUGUACUUGGAUAAGACAAUUAAUCUACAUUGUCUCAGUCCACCUAGCUGUAAAUGGGUCCUGGCCUCGGCUG